This 72-nucleotide transfer RNA is filed under the name Bos indicus (zebu cattle). It matches the Rfam family "tRNA". Rfam says of the family: Transfer RNA (tRNA) molecules are approximately 80 nucleotides in length. The record is from Rfam by way of RNAcentral. RNAcentral also lists the same sequence under 1 other name. Lineage: Eukaryota; Metazoa; Chordata; Mammalia; Artiodactyla; Bovidae.
UCCCUGGUGGCUCAGCUGGUACAGAACCCGCCUGUGAAGUGGGAGACCUGGGUUCGAUCCCUGGGUUGGGAA